Molecule: ribosomal RNA, 494 nt
Filed under: uncultured bacterium
Lineage: Bacteria
Description: partial 16S ribosomal RNA
Rfam family: Bacterial small subunit ribosomal RNA
Source: RNAcentral
GACGAACGCUGGCGGCGUGCUUAACACAUGCAAGUCGAACGGAAAGGCCUGCUUUCCCUUGUGGAUUGCGGGUGCUCGAGUGGCGAACGGGUGAGUAACACGUGAGUGAUCUGCCCCCAACUUGGGUAUAAGCCUGGGAAACUGGGUCUAAUUCCCGAUAGGACUGCAGGGUGGUGCCUGUGGUGGAAAACGAUUUUCUAGUGGUUGGGGAUGAGCUCGCGGCCUAUCAGCUUGUUGGUGGGGUAAUGGCCUACCAAGGCGGCGACGGGUAGCCGGCCUGAGAGGGUGGACGGCCACAUUGGGACUGAGAUACGGCCCAGACUCCUACGGGAGGCAGCAGUGGGGAAUAUUGCACAAUGGGCGGUAGCCUGAUGCAGCGACGCCGCGUGGGGGAUGACGGCCUUCGGGUUGUAAACUCCUUUCGACCGCGAGGAAGCCACCUGGUUGGAAGGGUGGUGACGGUAGUGGUAGAAGAAGCACCGGCUAACUACGUG